Molecule: transfer RNA, 90 nt
Filed under: Candidatus Saccharimonadota bacterium
Lineage: Bacteria; Candidatus Saccharimonadota
Description: tRNA-Ser
Rfam family: tRNA
About the family: Transfer RNA (tRNA) molecules are approximately 80 nucleotides in length. Their secondary structure includes four short double-helical elements and three loops (D, anti-codon, and T loops).
Source: RNAcentral
GGAGAGGUGCAGGAGUGGUUGAACUGGCAGUCCUGGAAAGACUGUGAGCCGGCAACGGUUCCGAGGGUUCGAAUCCCUCUCUCUCCGCCA